RNAcentral lists this ribosomal RNA (486 nucleotides) under uncultured bacterium. RNAcentral describes it as "partial 16S ribosomal RNA". It matches the Rfam family "Bacterial small subunit ribosomal RNA", at positions 30 to 507 of the family's 1533-position model. The record is from RNAcentral.
AUUGAACGCUGGCGGCAUGCCUUACACAUGCAAGUCGAACGGCAGCACGGGGGGUAACCCCUGGUGGCGAGUGGCGUACGGGUGAGUAAUAUAUCGGAACGUGUCCUGUAGCGGGGGAUAACCUAUCGAAAGAUGGACUAAUACCGCAUACGACCUACGGGUGAAAGCGGAGGACCGCAAGGCUUCGCACUAUAGGAGCGGCCGAUAUCGGAUUAGCUAGUUGGCGGGGUAACGGCCCACCAAGGCGACGAUCCGUAGCUGGUCUGAGAGGACGAUCAGCCACACUGGAACUGAGACACGGUCCAGACUCCUACGGGAGGCAGCAGUGGGGAAUUUUGGACAAUGGGCGCAAGCCUGAUCCAGCCAUGCCGCGUGAGUGAAGAAGGCCUUCGGGUUGUAAAGCUCUUUCGGCGGGGACGAAACGGUUCGUGCUAAUACCACGGACUACUGACGGUACCCGCAGAAGAAGCACCGGCUAACUACGUG